Molecule: ribosomal RNA, 253 nt
Filed under: uncultured bacterium
Lineage: Bacteria
Description: partial 16S ribosomal RNA
Rfam family: Bacterial small subunit ribosomal RNA
Source: RNAcentral
GACGAACCGUGCGAACGUUGUUCGGAAUCACUGGGCUUAAAGGGCGCGUAGGCGGACCAUCAAGUCAGGAGUGAAAUCCCCCGGCUCAACCGGGGAAGUGCUUUUGAUACUGGUGGUCUCGAGUGGGGUAGGGGCGUGCGGAACUUCCGGUGGGGCGGUGAAAUGCGUAGAGAUCGGAAGGAACGCCGGUGGCGAAAGCGGCACGCUGGACCCUUUCUGACGCUGAGGCGCGAAAGCCAGGGGAGCAAACGGG